Molecule: ribosomal RNA, 301 nt
Filed under: uncultured bacterium
Lineage: Bacteria
Description: partial 16S ribosomal RNA
Rfam family: Bacterial small subunit ribosomal RNA
Source: RNAcentral
CAGUCGCCGCGGGAAUACGUAUGUCACGAGCGUUAUCCGGAUUUAUUGGGCGUAAAGCGCGUCUAGGUGGUUAUAUAAGUCUGAUGUGAAAAUGCAGGGCUCAACUCUGUAUUGCGUUGGAAACUGUAUAACUAGAGUACUGGAGAGGUAAGCGGAACUACAAGUGUAGAGGUGAAAUUCGUAGAUAUUUGUAGGAAUGCCGAUGGGGAAGCCAGCUUACUGGACAGAUACUGACGCUGAAGCGCGAAAGCGUGGGUAGCAAACAGGAUUAGAUACCCCUGUAGUCCCUGUCUCUUAUACA